CUCUUCCCUUGCUGAGCUGUGGAGGGUUCACGUUUGAAAUGACUUUCAAAAAGGCCUUUGACGGAGCCGCCGCCCCCGACUCGCCAGUGAAGAAAUGAUGUCUUAACGGGUACGAGGCGACGAGCGUUUGAGGAUGAGAAGUGGGAGCACAAGCACAGGACAGGAAUCCCAGGGAACCAGAAACACCACAGGGAGACUUGCCAGUGGGACGACAUGACUUCCUCUUCUGUUCUCUCUGGACGGCGGAGGAGAGGUCCCAGAGGCGCAUUGCACAGCCUGUGACAGCGGAGGCUCAGCACCUUGGCUCAGGGACAUUUAUUUGGCUGCCGGCAACGAAGGAACAUGAAGCAAAGGCAGGGGAGAGAAAAAUAUGAGAGACCAUACGGCCCCCAUGCAGUUGUAGCCAAAGAGAAACACAGUGACAGGUCAAUUUUCAAACACCAGCCAAAGAGGAGCGCAGGCAGCAUCCCCCUAUUCACAGAGAAGUGAAGAGAGGCAUGACCAGGAUUGCACUGCAGUAUUCACGAGACAAUGACAGUCUGAGAUUUACUACAGCCGUGCCUCCCAGCUCCUGGCAUAGAUCUUACGCACUCUGGCUAAGGUGUGUAGAGAGGCGGCCAACUAUUAUAGACAGGAGUGGAACCCAAAAUCGCCACAAAACAGCCUGUGCUGUCCAAGUCUGCCCGAACAGCCGUCUUCCCAUCAGCAGAUACGGCAGCGGUGUUACCAGAUGGGGCGUCCUCAUGGUUCCGUAUCAGUACGGCUAGAAAACUCGCCUUCAGUCACCCAGCCGGCAAAACGAAGAGUUAAAUGGGUAAUUGUGAAGAGUGGAGUUUCAGGUUCAUUUCUCAAGUCAAUAAAAGCCCUUUACAAUAGCCCUCAAGGAGUCAUUGUAUUCAAUAAACUAGGCAGAGCUGCAGCAAACCAUUUAAAGACAGAAUGGUUUUAUUUAUCAAGCUCCUCGCAGAGAGUUCUCCCACGUCCUUUUAAAUGUCACUCUGGAGCUGGAAUGGAGAAUGAAACCGCUGAGCAGGGAGCAGACGCCACAGCAGCAUCACCUGUUGGAAAGCAAACUGGGAGCUGAUAACGGCUAAGC
This is a long non-coding RNA of Mauremys mutica (yellowpond turtle), 1096 nucleotides long. RefSeq lists it as uncharacterized. Lineage: Eukaryota; Metazoa; Chordata; Testudines; Geoemydidae. The transcript has 3 exons. The record is from RefSeq and is a predicted model, not a curated record.